This 555-nucleotide ribosomal RNA is filed under the name uncultured bacterium. Its description in RNAcentral is "bacterial SSU rRNA". It matches the Rfam family "Bacterial small subunit ribosomal RNA", at positions 28 to 586 of the family's 1533-position model. The record is from RNAcentral.
AUUGAACGCUGGCGGCAUGCCUUACACAUGCAAGUCGAACGGUAACAGGUUAAGCUGACGAGUGGCGAACGGGUGAGUAAUAUAUCGGAACGUGCCCAGUUGUGGGGGAUAACUGCUCGAAAGGGCAGCUAAUACCGCAUACGACCUGAGGGUGGAAGCGGGGGAUCGCAAGACCUCGCGCAAUGGAGCGGCCGAUAUCAUAUUAGCUAGUUGGCGGGGUAAAACCCCACCAAGGCGACUAUCUGUAGCUGGUCUGAGAGGACCACCACCCACACUGGGACUGAGACACGGCCCACACUCCUACGGGAGGCAGCAGUGGGGAAUUUUGGACAAUGGACGCAAGUCUGAUCCAGCCAUGCCGCGUGCGGAAAGAAGGCCUUCGGGUUGUAAACCUCUUUUGUCAGGGAAGAAACGCUCUGGGCUAAUACCCUGGGGUAAUGACGGUACCUGAAGAAUAAGCACCGGCUAACUCCGUGCCAGCAGCCGCGGUAAUACGGAGGGUGCAAGCGUUACUCGGAAUCACUGGGCGUAAAGCGCAUGUAGGCGGACUAACAA